This is a long non-coding RNA of Protopterus annectens (West African lungfish), 866 nucleotides long. RefSeq lists it as uncharacterized. NCBI's taxonomy places the organism in Eukaryota, Metazoa, Chordata, Ceratodontiformes, Protopteridae. The record is from RefSeq and is a predicted model, not a curated record. The transcript is spliced from 4 exons.
UGUUCAGGGUCAUACACAAUGCAAAUAUGAAGGGAUUAAUAAACACAAAUAUCCAUAUUGUCUUCCCAGGGCCUUAACUAAUGGUCUAUUCUCCAUGAAGGUUUACAGCGAGUAUCCAUUUCCAAUGACUGUUACCACUAGGUGGCACUGUCUCUCCAGUGUUGAAUUCUUCAAAUGCUUCUACCAUGGAGGCUUUUAGAUGUCUCAUUUCCAUAUCACAUGACUAGAGAAGGAAUGACAGAAAGCUGCAAUAUGCCUUUAUUUUCAUGUGACACCAUAAAGGGGUUACCCACUGGACUGAGACCCUCUUUCAGGGGAAGCUUGGAGAAAAGCCCUCCAAAAAGGUCACGUACUAUGGAUGCCAAUGAACAUCAGGAUUUUUUUCUGAAUUGCAUAUAGCUUUAAAUAUGAAGAAUAUAAUUUUAUUGGGCUAUUUCAACUGCCCAUAUAUUGAUUGGAACAACUGAACACUAGUGUGUUAUGUAAAGGAGUUUAUCAAUGAAGUAAAAAACAAUCUCAAGUUUAUCAUUACUAUUUCUUACCAUGGACUGAGCCAGUUAAAUGUUGAUACCACUAGAGGGGAUACUAUUGUAGUUCAUAUUGUUACAGAUAUUUGUUAUAAGGUUUAAAAAAGUGCACUUUUAUACUCCAUUAGGAUCUUCUGACCACUCUUCAGUGGUGUUUAGCCUUUUUAUAAUUCCUAAAAUUAGGCUCAGUAUAAAAAAAUACAAUUUUGAUUCACUGUCAGUCCCUUAUGCAAAUAGUAAAGAACACCAAUUGGUGCAACCUAAAAUAUGGGAAAGAAUCUGAAUAUGACAUUUAACAACAGACUUUCAGUAAUAGUGUUGAAGAGAUGAUUGCUUAUA